Molecule: unclassified non-coding RNA, 987 nt
Filed under: Hevea brasiliensis (rubber tree)
Lineage: Eukaryota; Viridiplantae; Streptophyta; Magnoliopsida; Malpighiales; Euphorbiaceae
Source: RNAcentral
UACACCCAGAUCUUGGUAUAGGUAAUUUUAUCAUUCACCCUCUCUCAUUGGCCUCAUCCUCCUCCUCAUAUAUACAGAUAUUGAUAAAGUGUGAUGUGAAGAACUAUAGAUAGGUCUCAGAUUUAAUUUGAGAAGUGAAAUUGAUACUUAAUUUACUGCAUGGUUUACUCUUUCUCUCUCUUCUGAAAUAAUUGUGUGAUGUGAAUUGUUCGUUUUUGGAUUUUGGGGACAAAAGUAGGAAUCUUUUCUUUCUUUCAUUUUUCUUUUUAGAAAGAAAUGAAUCUAUUGCUAGCAUGGCGGAAAGAAUCAGUUUAUGAUGGUUUUGGUUAUGUUUCCGCGGACACUGUGGGUUGCUGAGUGUUUGUGGCAUUGGAGUUGAUGGAGAGAUGAGUGGUGGCGGUCGUAGGUGUUGUCUCAUAGGCGGAGUUGAUUGUGGCAGUGACUUUGCUUUCAACUUUGUUGCUAACAUAAUGGAAUGUGCAGUAAGCCAAGUAGGCUACUGGUCAUAUACUCUCUAAUCCAGUCUGUUCGAGGAUCAAGCCCCUGUUCUGACCUCCUUCUCUCUUACAAAGAUGACAACACUGAACUAAGCUUUCAUUUUUUCCAAUCAAUAUUAAAGGGAGGCUUUCCUCCCAUCUUUUGCAUUUAAUUAUGUCACUUGUUUGCAAUUUGCUACCAGAAGCCAAGAAUUUUUCUACCCUCAAUAAUGGGGAAGAAACCUUGUUUUAUUUUAUGUUACCAAGACUGUUAGAUUGAAAUAUUCAUAGCACAUCUAUUCAUUUUUAGUGAAUUUUACCUCAAUUGAAUGUCAUACUUAAUUGUUGGUAAAACAUACAAUUCUCAUUAUAAUUUGCAAUUAAUUCCAAUCUCUUACAGCAUACAUGAAAAUUUUCUUGUAUUCAGGUUUUCUAGGGAUCACCUAUUAAUUUCAAACUUAUUUUAUUGGUACAUUAUAACAAUUUUUAGGUGGAGCUGAAAGAUUGAUUG